GACAGAGGUUGCAAACGUUGUUCGGAAUUACUGGGCAUAAAGCGCACGUAGGCGGUCCGCUAAGUCAGGUGUGAAAUCCCCCGGCUCAACCGGGGAAUUGCGUCUGAUACUGGCGGGCUCGAGAUCGGUAGGGGUGAGCGGAACUCCAGGUGGAGCGGUGAAAUGCGUCGAUAUCUGGAGGAACACCGGUGGCGAAAGCGGCUCACUGGAUCGACACUGACGCUGAGGUGCGAAAGCUAGGGUAGCAAACGGG
RNAcentral lists this ribosomal RNA (253 nucleotides) under uncultured prokaryote. RNAcentral describes it as "partial 16S ribosomal RNA". It matches the Rfam family "Bacterial small subunit ribosomal RNA", at positions 524 to 776 of the family's 1533-position model. The record is from RNAcentral.